RNAcentral lists this ribosomal RNA (437 nucleotides) under Aedes mallochi. Its description in RNAcentral is "eukaryotic LSU rRNA". The stretch from base 1 to 129 matches the Rfam family "5.8S ribosomal RNA", at positions 24 to 154 of the family's 154-position model. The record is from RNAcentral. Lineage: Eukaryota; Metazoa; Arthropoda; Insecta; Diptera; Culicidae.
GCUCGUGGAUCGAUGAAGACCGCAGCUAAAUGCGCGUCAGAAUGUGAACUGCAGGACACAUGAACACCGACAAGUUGAACGCAUAUUGCACCUCGUACAACAGUACGAGGUACACAUUUUUGAGUGCCUAUAUUUAUCUAUUCAACUAUACGUGUGUGCGCGUUUCACUUCGGGUGGACAGGCGCACGGCCCAUAAGCACGUAUGCGUAGUGAUGUUUUCCCGCCUUCGGUGGCGGUAAAACAUUGAAGAUAGUCAGGCGCGUCCCCGGCCGAUCGGCCCGGCGAGACGUGGUUGAUGAAUACAUCCCAUAGGCCAGCCCCCAUUUGGCUAUGUUGUAUUCCAUCAGCAAAGAGCGGCAUGUCCCAUGCAUGCCAAUCGACCAACCAACCAUCUAGUAGGCCUCAAAUAAUGUGUGACUACCCCCUAAAUUUAAGCA